GUCCACGCCGUAAACGAUGAGUGCUAAGUGUUAGAGGGUUUCCGCCCUUUAGUGCUGCAGCAAACGCAUUAAGCACUCCGCCUGGGGAGUACGGCCGCAAGGCUGAAACUCAAAGGAAUUGACGGGGGCCCGGCCACAAGACGGUGGAGGCAUGUGGUUUAAGUUUACGUAAGACAACGACCGGAAGGAAACCUUAACCCUAACGGUCGUUGUACAUCCUUACUUGACUUCCCUUACGAGAUAGGCGUUUCCCUUUCCGGGGUACGAUAAGUAGACAGGUGGUGGCAUGGUUGUCGU
Molecule: ribosomal RNA, 297 nt
Filed under: uncultured bacterium
Lineage: Bacteria
Description: partial 16S ribosomal RNA
Rfam family: Bacterial small subunit ribosomal RNA
Source: RNAcentral